This 394-nucleotide ribosomal RNA is filed under the name uncultured bacterium. Its description in RNAcentral is "bacterial SSU rRNA". It matches the Rfam family "Bacterial small subunit ribosomal RNA", at positions 30 to 425 of the family's 1533-position model. The record is from RNAcentral.
AUUGAACGCUGGCGGCAUGCCUUACACAUGCAAGUCGAACGGCAGCACGGGAGCAAUCCUGGUGGCGAGUGGCGAACGGGUGAGUAAUAUAUCGGAACGUGCCCGGUCGUGGGGGAUAACGUAGCGAAAGCUACGCUAAUACCGCAUACGAUCUACGGAUGAAAGCGGGGGAUCGCAAGACCUCGCGCGAUUGGAGCGGCCGAUAUCAGAUUAGGUAGUUGGUGAGGUAAAGGCUCACCAAGCCGACGAUCUGUAGCUGGUCUGAGAGGACGACCAGCCACACUGGGACUGAGACACGGCCCAGACUCCUACGGGAGGCAGCAGUGGGGAAUUUUGGACAAUGGGCGCAAGCCUGAUCCAGCAAUGCCGCGUGCAGGAUGAAGGCCUUCGGUUG